CCGCUGUGUCCGAGCCCUGUCCGAGAGAGAGGAUCUGACAGGACGGCGGAUCGAAGAUCUGGAUCCCCAUUUUGUCAACUCCAUGUUUCAAGGCCCACUGCUGACUCCCCAGACACUGCUGGUGCGCCUAUUGGUGGUGGCAGGCAGCCCUGUUACAGGCAGCAAACUCCAAGCCGCUGCCUUACUGCUGAUGCAAAACCUGCACAGCAGGUUCCACAGAGCUGUGGGGGCCAUGUGGGCUACUGAGAUCCCCCUGCUGCUGCAGUGUCUUGAAG
Meleagris gallopavo (turkey) is the source of this 275-nucleotide non-coding RNA. Lineage: Eukaryota; Metazoa; Chordata; Aves; Galliformes; Phasianidae. The record is from RefSeq and is a predicted model, not a curated record.